RNAcentral lists this non-coding RNA (23 nucleotides) under Rattus norvegicus (Norway rat). The record is from RNAcentral. Lineage: Eukaryota; Metazoa; Chordata; Mammalia; Rodentia; Muridae.
UGGACGUUACGGGAACUGUCCCU